Molecule: transfer RNA, 64 nt
Filed under: Tympanophyllum maximum
Lineage: Eukaryota; Metazoa; Arthropoda; Insecta; Orthoptera; Tettigoniidae
Description: tRNA-Tyr
Source: RNAcentral
AGUAGGGUGGCUGAUAAGAGGCGGUAAAUUGUAAAUUUAUUAAUGAGAGUAUUCUCCCCUAUUA